AACGCUUCGGCGUGCCUAAUACAUGCAAGUCGAGCGAGCGGAACUAACAGAUUUACUUCGGUAAUGACGUUAGGAAAGCGAGCGGCGGAUGGGUGAGUAACACGUGGGGAACCUGCCCCAUAGUCUGGGAUACCACUUGGAAACAGGUGCUAAUACCGGAUAAGAAAGCAGAUCGCAUGAUCAGCUUUUAAAAGGCGGCGUAAGCUGUCGCUAUGGGAUGGCCCCGCGGUGCAUUAGCUAGUUGGUAAGGUAAAGGCUUACCAAGGCGAUGAUGCAUAGCCGAGUUGAGAGACUGAUCGGCCACAUUGGGACUGAGACACGGCCCAAACUCCUACGGGAGGCAGCAGUAGGGAAUCUUCCACAAUGGACGCAAGUCUGAUGGAGCAACGCCGCGUGAGUGAAGAAGGUUUUCGGAUCGUAAAGCUCUGUUGUUGGUGAAGAAGGAUAGAGGUAGUAACUGGCCUUUAUUUGACGGUAAUCAACCAGAAAGUCACGGCUAACUACGUGCCAGCAGCCGCGGUAAUACGUAGGUGGCAAGCGUUGUCCGGAUUUAUUGGGCGUAAAGCGAGCGCAGGCGGAAGAAUAAGUCUGAUGUGAAAGCCCUCGGCUUAACCGAGGAACUGCAUCGGAAACUGUUUUUCUUGAGUGCAGAAGAGGAGAGUGGAACUCCAUGUGUAGCGGUGGAAUGCGUAGAUAUAUGGAAGAACACCAGUGGCGAAGGCGGCUCUCUGGUCUGCAACUGACGCUGAGGCUCGAAAGCAUGGGUAGCGAACAGGAUUAGAUACCCUGGUAGUCCAUGCCGUAAACGAUGAGUGCUAAGUGUUGGGAGGUUUCCGCCUCUCAGUGCUGCAGCUAACGCAUUAAGCACUCCGCCUGGGGAGUACGACCGCAAGGUUGAAACUCAAAGGAAUUGACGGGGGCCCGCACAAGCGGUGGAGCAUGUGGUUUAAUUCGAAGCAACGCGAAGAACCUUACCAGGUCUUGACAUCUAGUGCCAUUUGUAGAGAUACAAAGUUCCCUUCGGGGACGCUAAGACAGGUGGUGCAUGGCUGUCGUCAGCUCGUGUCGUGAGAUGUUGGGUUAAGUCCCGCAACGAGCGCAACCCUUGUUAUUAGUUGCCAGCAUUAAGUUGGGCACUCUAAUGAGACUGCCGGUGACAAACCGGAGGAAGGUGGGGAUGACGUCAAGUCAUCAUGCCCCUUAUGACCUGGGCUACACACGUGCUACAAUGGGCAGUACAACGAGAAGCGAGCCUGCGAAGGCAAGCGAAUCUCUGAAAGCUGUUCUCAGUUCGGACUGCAGUCUGCAACUCGACUGCACGAAGCUGGAAUCGCUAGUAAUCGCGGAUCAGCACGCCGCGGUGAAUACGUUCCCGGGCCUUGUACACACCGCCCGUCACACCAUGGGAGUCUGCAAUGCCCAAAGCCGGUGGCCUAACUUUCGGGAAGGAGCCGUCUAAGGCAGGGCAGAUGACUGGGGUAAGUCGUAACAAGGAGCCUAGGAGAACUA
This 1509-nucleotide ribosomal RNA is filed under the name Lactobacillus crispatus. RNAcentral describes it as "bacterial SSU rRNA". It matches the Rfam family "Bacterial small subunit ribosomal RNA". The record is from RNAcentral. Lineage: Bacteria; Bacillati; Bacillota; Bacilli; Lactobacillales; Lactobacillaceae.